This 2878-nucleotide ribosomal RNA is filed under the name Stenotrophomonas maltophilia. RNAcentral describes it as "23S ribosomal RNA". It matches the Rfam family "Bacterial large subunit ribosomal RNA". The record is from RNAcentral. RNAcentral also lists the same sequence under 3 other names. Lineage: Bacteria; Pseudomonadati; Pseudomonadota; Gammaproteobacteria; Lysobacterales; Lysobacteraceae.
GGUCAAGCGAAUAAGCGCACACGGUGGAUGCCUUGGCGGUCAGAGGCGAUGAAGGACGUGGCAGCCUGCGAAAAGUAUCGGGGAGCUGGCAACAAGCUUUGAUCCGGUAAUGUCCGAAUGGGGAAACCCACCCGCUUGCGGGUAUCCUGCAGUGAAUACAUAGCUGCUGGAAGCGAACCUGGUGAACUGAAAUAUCUAAGUAACCAGAGGAAAAGAAAUCAACCGAGAUUCCGUAAGUAGCGACGAGCGAACGCGGACUAGCCCUUAAGCUGAUUUGGUUCUAGGAAAACGCUCUGGAAAGAGCGGCCAUAGAAGGUGAUAGCCCUGUAUCUGAAAGGGCCAUUUCAGUGAAGACGAGUAGGGCGGGGCACGUGAAACCCUGUCUGAACAUGGGGGGACCAUCCUCCAAGGCUAAAUACUACUGACCGACCGAUAGUGAACCAGUACCGUGAGGGAAAGGCGAAAAGAACCCCGGAGAGGGGAGUGAAAUAGAACCUGAAACCGUGUGCGUACAAGCAGUAGGAGCUCCGCAAGGAGUGACUGCGUACCUUUUGUAUAAUGGGUCAGCGACUUACUGUUCGUGGCAAGCUUAACCGUAUAGGGGAGGCGAAGGGAAACCGAGUCUGAUAAGGGCGCAUAGUCGCGGGCAGUAGACCCGAAACCGGGUGAUCUAGUCAUGCCCAGGGUGAAGGUGCGGUAACACGCACUGGAGGCCCGAACCCACUCCCGUUGCAAAGGUAGGGGAUGAGGUGUGAUUAGGAGUGAAAAGCUAAUCGAACCCGGAGAUAGCUGGUUCUCCUCGAAAGCUAUUUAGGUAGCGCCUCAUAUGUAUCCUCUCGGGGGUAGAGCACUGUUAUGGCUAGGGGGUCAUCGCGACUUACCAAACCAUUGCAAACUCCGAAUACCGAGACGGACUGUAUGGGAGACACACGGCGGGUGCUAACGUCCGUCGUGAAAAGGGAAACAACCCAGACCCACAGCUAAGGUCCCAAAUUUUGUGCUAAGUGGAAAACCAUGUGGAAAGGCACAGACAGCCAGGAGGUUGGCUUAGAAGCAGCCACCCUUUAAAGAAAGCGUAAUAGCUCACUGGUCGAGUCGGUCUGCGGGGAAGAUUUAACGGGGCUAAGCACAGAACCGAAGCUUGGGGUGCAUACUUUGUAUGCGCGGUAGAGGAGCGUUCCGUAAGCCGUUGAAGGUGGAUUGAGAAGUCUGCUGGAGGUAUCGGAAGUGCGAAUGCUGACAUGAGUAACGAUAAUGCGGGUGAAAAACCCGCACGCCGAAAGCCCAAGGUUUCCUUGCGCAACGUUAAUCGGCGCAGGGUGAGUCGGCCCCUAAGGCGAGGACGAAAGUCGUAGUCGAUGGGAAGCAGGUUAAUAUUCCUGCACCUCGCGUAAGUGCGAUGGAGGGACGGAGAAGGUUAGGUGUACCAGGCGUUGGUUGUCCUGGGGAAAGGCGGUAGGUUUGGAUCUUUGGCAAAUCCGGGAUCCUCUAAGACCGAGCACCGAGACGAGCCUUUAAGGCGAAGUCACUGAUACCACGCUUCCAGGAAAAGCUCCUAAGCUUCAGCUUACGCAGACCGUACCGUAAACCGACACAGGUGGGUAGGAUGAGAAUUCUCAGGCGCUUGAGAGAACUCGGGUGAAGGAACUAGGCAACAUGGCACCGUAACUUCGGGAGAAGGUGCACCCUUUUUGGUGGCUCGUGCGAGCUAUAGCUGAAGAGGGUCGCAGUAACCAGGCCGCUGCGACUGUUUAUCAAAAACACAGCACUCUGCAAACACGAAAGUGGACGUAUAGGGUGUGACGCCUGCCCGGUGCUGGAAGGUUAAUUGAUGGGGUCAGCCGCAAGGCGAAGCUCUUGAUCGAAGCCCCAGUAAACGGCGGCCGUAACUAUAACGGUCCUAAGGUAGCGAAAUUCCUUGUCGGGUAAGUUCCGACCUGCACGAAUGGCGUAACGACAGCGGCGCUGUCUCCACCCGAGACUCAGUGAAAUUGAAAUCGCUGUGAAGAUGCAGCGUUCCCGUGGCAAGACGGAAAGACCCCGUGAACCUUUACUAUAGCUUUACACUGAACGUUGAGUUCGUCUGUGUAGGAUAGGUGGGAGGCUAUGAAACUGUGGCGCUAGCUGCAGUGGAGCCAUCCUUGAAAUACCACCCUGUCGUGCUUGACGUUCUAACCUGGGCCCAUUAUCUGGGUCGGGGACCGUGUAUGGUGGGUAGUUUGACUGGGGCGGUCUCCUCCUAAAGAGUAACGGAGGAGCUCGAAGGUACGCUCAGCGCGGUCGGACAUCGCGCACUGUGUGCAAAGGCAUAAGCGUGCUUGACUGCAAGAUCGACGGAUCAAGCAGGUAGGAAACUAGGACUUAGUGAUCCGGUGGUUCUGUAUGGAAGGGCCAUCGCUCAACGGAUAAAAGGUACUCCGGGGAUAACAGGCUGAUACCGCCCAAGAGUUCAUAUCGACGGCGGUGUUUGGCACCUCGAUGUCGGCUCAUCACAUCCUGGGGCUGUAGUCGGUCCCAAGGGUAUGGCUGUUCGCCAUUUAAAGUGGUACGCGAGCUGGGUUCAGAACGUCGUGAGACAGUUCGGUCCCUAUCUGCCAUGGGCGUUGGAGAUUUGAGAGGGGCUGCUCCUAGUACGAGAGGACCGGAGUGGACGAACCUCUGGUGUUCCGGUUGUCACGCCAGUGGCAUUGCCGGGUAGCUAUGUUCGGAAGCGAUAACCGCUGAAAGCAUCUAAGCGGGAAGCGCGCCUCAAGAUGAGAUCUCCCGGGGCACAAGCCCCCUGAAGGAACCAUGUAGACUACGUGGUUGAUAGGUCAGGUGUGUAAGUACAGCAAUGUAUUGAGCUAACUGAUACUAAUGAUCCGAGAGGCUUGACCAU